RNAcentral lists this ribosomal RNA (394 nucleotides) under uncultured bacterium. RNAcentral describes it as "partial 16S ribosomal RNA". It matches the Rfam family "Bacterial small subunit ribosomal RNA", at positions 523 to 918 of the family's 1533-position model. The record is from RNAcentral.
AUACGUAGGUGACAAGCGUUAUCCGGAUUUAUUGGGUUUAAAGGGUGCGUAGGCGGAUGAUUAAGCGUGAGGUGAAAUGCCACUGCUCAACAGUGGAACUGCCUCGCGAACUGGUUGUCUUGAAUGCUCCUGCCGUGGGAGGAAUGUGUGGUGUAGCGGUGAAAUGCAUAGAGAUCACACAGAACACCGAUUGCGAAGGCAUCUCACGAAGGGGUGAUUGACGCUGAGGCACGAAAGCGUGGGGAUCAAACAGGAUUAGAUACCCUGGUAGUCCACGCAGUAAACGAUGAUAACUAACCGCUGGGUCGUAGUGAUUCAGUGGCCAAGCGAAAGCGAUAAGUUAUCCACCUGGGGAGUACGACCGCAAGGUUGAAACUCAAAUGAAUUGACGGGG